UACGAGGGGUGCGAGCGUUGCUCGGAAUCAUUGGGCGUAAAGCGAGCGCGGAUGGUCUCUUAAGUCAGGAGUGAAAGCCCCGGGCUCAACCUGGGAAGUGCUUUUGAUACUGAGGGACUUGAAUGUGGGAGAGGGUGCUAGAAUUCCUGGUGUAGUGGUGAAAUACGUAGAUAUCAGGAGGAACACCGGUGGGGAAGCCGGGUGCCUGGCCCAACAUUGACAUUUAGGCUCGAAAGCGUGGGGAUCAAACAGG
RNAcentral lists this ribosomal RNA (253 nucleotides) under uncultured bacterium. RNAcentral describes it as "partial 16S ribosomal RNA". It matches the Rfam family "Bacterial small subunit ribosomal RNA", at positions 524 to 776 of the family's 1533-position model. The record is from RNAcentral.